CUAUCAUGCACGUCGAGCGACUGAUUAGAAGCUUGCUUCUAUGACGUUAGCGGCGGACGGGUGAGUAACACGUGGGCAACCUGCCUGUAAGACUGGGAUAACUUCGGGAAACCGAAGCUAAUACCGGAUAGGAUCUUCUCCUUCAUGGGAGAUGAUUGAAAGAUGGUUUCGGCUAUCACUUACAGAUGGGCCCGCGGUGCAUUAGCUAGUUGGUGAGGUAACGGCUCACCAAGGCAACGAUGCAUAGCCGACCUGAGAGGGUGAUCGGCCACACUGGGACUGAGACACGGCCCAGACUCCUACGGGAGGCAGCAGUAGGGAAUCUUCCGCAAUGGACGAAAGUCUGACGGAGCAACGCCGCGUGAGUGAUGAAGGCUUUCGGGUCGUAAAACUCUGUU
RNAcentral lists this ribosomal RNA (398 nucleotides) under Priestia megaterium. Its description in RNAcentral is "bacterial SSU rRNA". It matches the Rfam family "Bacterial small subunit ribosomal RNA", at positions 50 to 437 of the family's 1533-position model. The record is from RNAcentral. Lineage: Bacteria; Bacillati; Bacillota; Bacilli; Caryophanales; Bacillaceae.